CCUACGGGUGGCAGCAGUGGGGGAUAUUGCACAAUGGGGGAAACCCUGAACCAGCAACGCCGCGUGAGGGAAGAAGGAUCUCGGUUUGUAAACCUCUGUCAGCUGUGAAGAAAAUGACGGUACCUGACGAGGAAGCCCCGGCUAACUACGUGCCAGCAGCCGCGGUAAUACGUAGGGGGCAAGCGUUGUCCGGAUUUACUGGGUGUAAAGGGUGCGUAGGCGGCACUGCAAGUCAGAAGUGAAAUCCCUGGGCUUAACCCGGGAACUGCUUUUGAAACUGUGGGGCUUGAGUGCAGGAGAGGCAAGCGGAAUUCCCGGUGUAGCGGUGAAAUGCGUAGAGAUCGGGAGGAACACCAGUGGCGAAGGCGGCCUGCUGGGCUUUAACUGACGCUGAGGCACGAAAGCGUGGGGAGCAAACAGGAUUAGAUACCCGUGUAGUC
Molecule: ribosomal RNA, 440 nt
Filed under: uncultured bacterium
Lineage: Bacteria
Description: partial 16S ribosomal RNA
Rfam family: Bacterial small subunit ribosomal RNA
Source: RNAcentral